GAUGAAGAACGCAGCGAAAUGCGAUACGUAAUGUGAAUUGCAAAUUCAGUGAAUCAUCGAGUCUUUGAACGCACAUUGCGCCCCCUGGUAUUCCGGGGGGCAUGCCUGUCCGAGCGUCAUUGCUGCCCUCAAGCGCGGCUUGUGUGUUGGGCCCCGUCCUCCGAUCCCGGGGGACGGGUCCGAAAGGCAGCGGCGGCACCGCGUCCGGUCCUCGAGCGUAUGGGGCUUUGUCACCCGCUCUGUAGGCCCGGCCGGCGCUUGCCGAUCAACCCAAAUUUUUAUCCAGGUUGACCUCGGAUCAGGUAGGGAUACCCGCUGAACUUAAGCAUAUCAAUAAGCGGAGGA
This 345-nucleotide unclassified non-coding RNA is filed under the name soil metagenome. RNAcentral's name for it is "partial contains 5.8S ribosomal RNA, internal transcribed spacer 2, and large subunit ribosomal RNA". The stretch from base 1 to 119 matches the Rfam family "5.8S ribosomal RNA", at positions 35 to 154 of the family's 154-position model. The record is from RNAcentral.